GAGGAAAAGAAACCAACAGGGAUUGCCUCAGUAACGGCGAGUGAAGCGGCAAAAGCUCAAAUUUGAAAUCUAGCACUUUCGGUGUUCGAGUUGUAAUUUGAAGAUGGUAACCUUGGGUUUGGCUCUGUCUAUGUUCCUUGGAACAGGACGUCAUAGAGGGUGAGAAUCCCGUCUGAUGAGAUGCCCAUUCCUAUGUAAGGUGCUAUCGAAGAGUCGAGUUGUUUGGGAAUGCAGCUCUAAGUGGGUGGUAAAUUCCAUCUAAAGCUAAAUAUUGGCGAGAGACCGAUAGCGAACAAGUACAGUGAUGGAAAGAUGAAAAGAACUUUGAAAAGAGAGUGAAAAAGUACGUGAAAUUGUUGAAAGGGAAGGGCAUUAGAUCAGACUUGGUGUUUUACGAUUAUCUUCUCUUCUUGAGUUGUGCACUCGUAUUUCACUGGGCCAGCAUCGAUUCGGAUGGCAAGAUAAUGGCAGUUGAAUGUGGCUUCACUUCGGUGGAGUGUUAUAGCUUCUGCUGAUAUUGCCUGUCUGGAUCGAGGGCUGCGUCUUUUGACUAGGAUGCUGGCGUAAUGAUCUAAUGCCGCCCGUCUUGAAACACGGACCAAGGAGUCUAACGUCUAUGCGAGUGUUUGGGUGUAAAACCCGUACGCGUAAUGAAAGUGAACGUAGGUGAGAGCUCUUUUUUGAGUGCAUCAUCGACCGAUCCUGAUGUUUUCGGAUGGAUUUGAGUAAGAGCAUAGCUGUUGGGACCCGAAAGAUGGUGAACUAUGCCUGAAUAGGGUGAAGCCAGAGGAAACUCUGGUGGAGGCUCGUAGCGGUUCUGACGUGCAAAUCGAUCGUCGAAUUUGGGUAUAGGGGCGAAAG
Molecule: ribosomal RNA, 861 nt
Filed under: Hansenula anomala
Lineage: Eukaryota; Fungi; Ascomycota; Saccharomycetes; Phaffomycetales; Wickerhamomycetaceae
Description: Wickerhamomyces anomalus partial large subunit ribosomal RNA
Rfam family: Eukaryotic large subunit ribosomal RNA
Source: RNAcentral